RNAcentral lists this small nuclear RNA (102 nucleotides) under Salvator merianae (Argentine black and white tegu). RNAcentral's name for it is "U5 spliceosomal RNA (ENSSMRG00000019595.1)". It matches the Rfam family "U5 spliceosomal RNA", at positions 1 to 102 of the family's 117-position model. Rfam says of the family: U5 RNA is a component of both types of known spliceosome. The precise function of this molecule is unknown, though it is known that the 5' loop is required for splice site selection and p220 binding, and that both the 3' stem-loop and the Sm site are important for Sm protein binding and cap methylation. The record is from RNAcentral. Lineage: Eukaryota; Metazoa; Chordata; Lepidosauria; Squamata; Teiidae.
AUAUUUUGAUUUGUCUUCAGAUCGUAUAAAUCUUUUGCCUUUUAGUAAAGAUUUCAGUGGAGGGGAACAUUUAUGAGUUUGUACCUAAUUUUCUGAAGUCCU